Molecule: ribosomal RNA, 497 nt
Filed under: uncultured bacterium
Lineage: Bacteria
Description: bacterial SSU rRNA
Rfam family: Bacterial small subunit ribosomal RNA
Source: RNAcentral
AUUGAACGCUGGCGGCAGGCCUAACACAUGCAAGUCGAGCGGGGUUUUCGGACCUAGCGGCGGACGGGUGAGUAAUGCGUAGGAAGCUACCCGACAGAGGGGGAUACCAGUUGGAAACGACUGUUAAUACCCGCAUAAUGUCUACGGACCAAAGUGUGGGACCUUCGGGCCACAUGCUGUCGGAUGCGCCUACGUGGAUUAGCUAGUUGGUGAGGUAAUGGCUCACCAAGGCGACGAUCCGUAACUGGUCUGAGAGGAUGAUCAGUCACACUGGAACUGAGACACGGUCCAGACUCCUACGGGAGGCAGCAGUGGGGAAUAUUGGACAAUGGGGGGAACCCUGAUCCAGCAAUGCCGCGUGUGUGAACGAGGCCUGAGGGUUGUAAAGCACUUUCAGUGGGGAGGAGGUUGAUAGGUUAAGAGCUAAUUAACUGGACGUUACCUACAGAAGAAGCACCGGCUAACUCCGUGCCAGCAGCCGCGGUAAAGUGACUACU